RNAcentral lists this long non-coding RNA (752 nucleotides) under Selaginella moellendorffii. Its description in RNAcentral is "long non-coding RNA (SMOE_LNC000672)". Lineage: Eukaryota; Viridiplantae; Streptophyta; Lycopodiopsida; Selaginellales; Selaginellaceae. The record is from RNAcentral.
CCAGAGAUAUCAAUUGUGUUCGCGAGAAUGCUGCUCAGCGCAUUGGACAUGGACACGAAAACGAUUUUUUUCGCGAAUUCCUGGUUUUGUAUGUAGCCCUUUCCCUUUCCUCCACUGAUCGUCGCAAUGUGUCUCAGUUUUUCACUGGAUUCAUGACUGAUUUCUUACUUGCUUGUCAUCAGACGAAAGGAACGACUUCUUCCAAACGAAAACUGUUGAUCGAUGAAUGAGUCCUGAAAGAUCAUCCAGAAAGAAGACCAUCUUAAGCAAGAAUUUCCACGGCAGAGUCGCACUUACCAGAAAGCUUAGAAGAAUUGCAAAUCAUAUUUUCCACGAGUUCUUCACUGGCGCAUUGAUCGAAAAAUGGUCGAAUCAAGGAUGACCACUAUCUUCUUCUUCGAAUACCAUCAUCUCCAGGAAAGCUGCAAUCACUUCCACUGUAGAAUACUCUUCAAACACAUAGCAUGAAGAUCCACAAGGAAACAUUGGGGGAUCUGCAUGUUCAUAGGUGUCGUUCUUUUUUCUUUUUACAAAAGCGUGAAACAGGAAUCAGUGCGUUCUUCACAAGAUGGUCAUCCUUGAUUCCCUAGCGGCCAUUUUAGAUCAAUGCCCCCACAAAGAACUCGUGGAAGAUAUGACUUGCAAUUCCUUUUUAAGUGUUCUGGUAAGUGGGACUUAGUGGAGUUCUUUGUUAAAAUGUCUUCUUGCUAGAUGACUUCCAGGAAUUCAUUCAUCAAUCAAUAGUGCCAAAA